UGCCAGCAGCCGCGGUAACACGGGGGGCGCAAGCGUUAUUCGGAAUUAUUGGGCGUAAAGGGCGCGUAGGCGGUCUUGUCAGUCAGGUGUGAAAGCCCGGGGCUCAACCCCGGACGUGCAUUUGAAACAGCAAGACUUGAGUACGGGAGAGGAGAGAGGAAUUCCUGGUGUAGAGGUGAAAUUCGUAGAUAUCAGGAGGAACACCAGUGGCGAAGGCGGCUUUCUGGACCGAUACUGACGCUGAGACGCGAAAGCGUGGGGAGCAAACAGGAUUAGAUA
RNAcentral lists this ribosomal RNA (279 nucleotides) under uncultured bacterium. Its description in RNAcentral is "partial 16S ribosomal RNA". It matches the Rfam family "Bacterial small subunit ribosomal RNA", at positions 506 to 784 of the family's 1533-position model. The record is from RNAcentral.